RNAcentral lists this ribosomal RNA (254 nucleotides) under uncultured bacterium. Its description in RNAcentral is "partial 16S ribosomal RNA". It matches the Rfam family "Bacterial small subunit ribosomal RNA", at positions 524 to 776 of the family's 1533-position model. The record is from RNAcentral.
GACGGAGGGUGCGAGCGUUGUCCGGAAUUAUUGGGCGAAAAGGGCUCGUAGGCGGCCAACUAAGUCAGACGUGAAAUCCCUCGGCUUAACCGGGGAACUGCGUCUGAUACUGGAUGGCUUGAGUUUGGGAGAGGGAUGCGGAAUUCCAGGUGUAGCGGUGAAAUGCGUAGAUAUCUGGAGGAACACCGGUGGCGAAGGCGGCAUCCUGGACCAACACUGACGCUGAGUGAGCGAAAGCCAGGGGAGCAAACGGG